CCUACGGGAGGCAGCAGUGGGGGAUAUUGCACAAUGGGGGGAACCCUGAUGCAGCGACGCCGCGUGGGUGAAGAAGCGCCUCGGCGCGUAAAGCCCUGUCAGCAGGGAAGAAAAUGACGGUACCUGAAGAAGAAGCCCCGGCUAACUACGUGCCAGCAGCCGCGGGAAUACGUAGGGGGCAAGCGUUAUCCGGAUGUACUGGGUGUAAAGGGGGCGCAGACGGCGAUGCAAGCCAGGAGUGAAAGCCCGGGGCCCAACCCCGGGACUGCUCUUGGAACUGCGUGGCUGGAGUGCAGGAGGGGCAGGCGGAAUUCCUGGUGUAGCGGUGAAAUGCGUAGAUAUCAGGAGGAACACCGGUGGCUAAGGCGGCCUGCUGGACUGCAACUGACGUUGAGGCCCGAAAGCGUGGGGAGCAAACAGGAUUAGAUACCCGAGUAGUC
RNAcentral lists this ribosomal RNA (440 nucleotides) under uncultured bacterium. RNAcentral's name for it is "partial 16S ribosomal RNA". It matches the Rfam family "Bacterial small subunit ribosomal RNA", at positions 338 to 795 of the family's 1533-position model. The record is from RNAcentral.